CCUACGGGUGGCUGCAGUAGGGAAUCUUCCACAAUGGGCGAAACCCUGAUGCAGCGACGCCGCGUGAGUGAGGAAGUAUUUCGGUUUGUAAAGCUCUAUUAGUAGGGAAGAAUGUGUGUGUAGUUACUAUACACACUCCAGCUAAUUACGUGCCAGCAGCCGAGGUAAUACUUAGGGGGCAAGCGUUCUCCGGUUUUACUGGGCGUAAAGUGAGCGUAGACGGUAUAGCAAGUCUGAUGUGAAAACCCGGGGCUCAACUCCGGGGGGGCAUUGGAAACUGUUGAACUAGAGGGUCGGAGAGACAAGUGGAAUUCCUAGUGUAGCGGUGAAAUGCGUAGAGAUUAGGAGGAACACCAGUGGCGAAGGCGGCUUUCUGGACUAUGACUGACACUGAGGCGCGAAAGCGUGGGGAGCAAACAGGAUUAGAUACCCCGGUAGUC
RNAcentral lists this ribosomal RNA (440 nucleotides) under uncultured bacterium. RNAcentral's name for it is "partial 16S ribosomal RNA". It matches the Rfam family "Bacterial small subunit ribosomal RNA", at positions 338 to 795 of the family's 1533-position model. The record is from RNAcentral.